Molecule: ribosomal RNA, 250 nt
Filed under: uncultured bacterium
Lineage: Bacteria
Description: partial 16S ribosomal RNA
Rfam family: Bacterial small subunit ribosomal RNA
Source: RNAcentral
GCAAGUCGAACGGCAGCGCGGGGAGCUUGCUCCCUGGCGGCGAGUGGCGGACGGGUGAGUAACGCGUAGGAAUCUGCCCAGUAGUGGGGGACAACCUCGGGAAACCGAGGCUAAUACCGCAUACGCCCUACGGGGGAAAGCGGGGGAUCUUCGGACCUCGCGCUAUUGGAUGAGCCUACGUCCGAUUAGCUUGUUGGUAGGGUAAAAGCCUACCAAGGCGACGAUCGGUAGCUGGUCUGAGAGGACGAUC